GAUGAACGCUGGCGGCGUGCCUAAUACAUGCAAGUCGAGCGAAUGGAUUAAGAGCUUGCUCUUAUGAAGUUAGCGGCGGACGGGUGAGUAACACGUGGGUAACCUGCCCAUAAGACUGGGAUAACUCCGGGAAACCGGGGCUAAUACCGGAUAACAUUUUGAACCGCAUGGUUCGAAAUUGAAAGGCGGCUUCGGCUGUCACUUAUGGAUGGACCCGCGUCGCAUUAGCUAGUUGGUGAGGUAACGGAUCACCAAGGCAACGAUGCGUAGCCGGCCUGAGAGGGUGAUCGGCCACACUGGGAACGAGAGGCGGCCCAGACUCCUACGGGAGGCAGCAGUAGGGAAUCUUCCGCAAUGGACGAAAGUCUGACGGAGCAACGCCGCGUGAGUGAUGAAGGCUUUCGGGUCGUAAAACUCUGUUGUUAGGGAAGAACAAGUGCUAGUUGAAUAAGCUGGCACCUUGACGGUACCUAACCAGAAAGCCACGGCUAACUACGUGCCAGCCGCCGCCGUAA
This 515-nucleotide ribosomal RNA is filed under the name uncultured bacterium. Its description in RNAcentral is "partial 16S ribosomal RNA". It matches the Rfam family "Bacterial small subunit ribosomal RNA", at positions 28 to 523 of the family's 1533-position model. The record is from RNAcentral.